This 395-nucleotide ribosomal RNA is filed under the name uncultured bacterium. RNAcentral describes it as "bacterial SSU rRNA". It matches the Rfam family "Bacterial small subunit ribosomal RNA", at positions 355 to 748 of the family's 1533-position model. The record is from RNAcentral.
UAAGGAAUAUUGGUCAAUGGACGCAAGUCUGAACCAGCCAUGCCGCGUGAAGGAUGAAGGUCCUCUGGAUUGUAAACUUCUUUUAUCUGGGACGAAAACGGGAUUUUUAUCUCAAUUGACGGUACCAGAGGAAUAAGCACCGGCUAACUCCGUGCCAGCAGCCGCGGUAAUACGGAGGGUGCGAGCGUUAUCCGGAUUUACUGGGUUUAAAGGGUGCGUAGGUGGGCUUAUAAGUCAGUGGUGAAAUCUCCGAGCUUAACUUGGAAACUGCCGUUGAUACUAUAGGUCUUGAAUUAUCUGGAGGUAAGCGGAAUAUGUCAUGUAGCGGUGAAAUGCUUAGAUAUGACAUAGAACACCAAUUGCGAAGGCAGCUUACUACAUAUAAAUUGACGCUG